Molecule: non-coding RNA, 162 nt
Filed under: Inquilinus limosus
Lineage: Bacteria; Pseudomonadati; Pseudomonadota; Alphaproteobacteria; Rhodospirillales; Rhodospirillaceae
Description: FMN sequence
Rfam family: FMN riboswitch aptamer (RFN element)
About the family: The RFN element is a highly conserved domain that is found frequently in the 5'-untranslated regions of prokaryotic mRNAs that encode for flavin mononucleotide (FMN) biosynthesis and transport proteins. This element is a metabolite-dependent riboswitch that directly binds FMN in the absence of proteins. In Bacillus subtilis, the riboswitch most likely controls gene expression by causing premature transcription termination within the 5' untranslated region of the ribDEAHT operon and precluding access to the ribosome-binding site of ypaA mRNA.
Source: RNAcentral
GGACGUUCUCAGGGCGGGGUGAAAGUCCCCACCGGCGGUGAUGGCGCGAUCCCCUCAGGGAAGCGCAUGAGCCCGCGAGCGCCUGCCGGGCGACCGGCAGGGUCAGCAGAUUCGGUGGGACUCCGAAGCCGACGGUCACAGUCCGGAUGAAAGAGAACGGGG